UGUCUUUGGUAAGGAGAGUAAUUUAAAAUGGUGAGGAUGAGCACAAUCUAAAAUGAGGUGAGUAAUCUACGAUGGUGAGGAGGAGAGAAAUGUACGACGGUGAGGAGGAGGAGAGUAAUCUAAAAUGGUGAGGAGGAGAGUAAUCUAAGAUGGUGAGGAGGAGAGUAAUCUAAGACUGUGACGAUGAUGAGAAUAAUCUAAGAUUGUGAGGUGAAGUAGAACAAUCUAAGAUUGUGAGGAGGAUGAGAGUCAUCUAACAUUGUGAUGACGAUGAGAAAAAUCUAAGAUUGUGAGGAGGCUGAGAAUAAUCUAAGAUUGUGAGGAGGCUGAGAAUAAUCUAAGAUUGUGAUGACGAUGAGAAUAAUCUAAGAUUGUGAGGAGGAGGGGAGUAAUCUAAAAUGGUGAUGAGAAGGGUAAUAUGGAGAUGAGGAGAGUAAUAUGGUGAUGAGGAGAGUAAUAUGUUGAUGAGGAGACUAAUAUGGAGGUGAGGAGAGCAAUAUGGCGGUGAGGAGAGUAAUAUGGUGAUGAGGAGACUAAUAUGGAGAUGAGGAGAGUAAUAUGGUGAUGAGGAGAGUAAUAUGGAGACGAGGAGAGUAAUAUGGAGAUGAGGAGAGUAAUAUGGAGAUGAGGAGAGUAAUAUGGCGGUGAGGAGAGUAAUAUGGAGAUGAGGAGAGCAAUAUGGCGGUGAGGAGAGCAAUAUGGAGAUGAGGAGAGUAAUAUGGAGAUGAGGAGAGAGAGCAAUAUGGAGAUGAGGAGAGUAAUAUGGAGAUGAGGAGAGUAAUAUGGAGAUGAGGAGAGCAAUAUGGAGAUGAGGAGAGCAAUAUGGCGAUGAGGAGAGUAAUAUGGAGAUGAGGAGAGCAAUAUGGAGAUGAGGAGAGCAAUAUGGCGGUGAGGAGAGUAAUAUGGUGAUGAGGAGAGUAAUAUGGAGAUGAGGAGAGUAAUAAAGAGAAUAGGAGAGCAAUAUGGUGAUGAGGAGAGCAAUAUGGAGAUGAGGAGAGUAAUAUGGAGAUGAGGAGAGUAAUAUGGAG
This 1028-nucleotide long non-coding RNA is filed under the name Salmo salar (Atlantic salmon). RNAcentral describes it as "lncRNA (ENSSSAG00000106750.1)". The record is from RNAcentral. Lineage: Eukaryota; Metazoa; Chordata; Actinopteri; Salmoniformes; Salmonidae.